UGUUAUUUGGAUGCUGCUCA
RNAcentral lists this non-coding RNA (20 nucleotides) under Arabidopsis thaliana (thale cress). Lineage: Eukaryota; Viridiplantae; Streptophyta; Magnoliopsida; Brassicales; Brassicaceae. The record is from RNAcentral.